Molecule: small RNA, 491 nt
Filed under: Pan troglodytes (chimpanzee)
Lineage: Eukaryota; Metazoa; Chordata; Mammalia; Primates; Hominidae
Also listed under: 1 other name
Description: processed transcript
Source: RNAcentral
UCUCUCCCCUUGUUCUGUGAUGGCUCCAUCUACAAACCUGUAUCUGGGACCUGCCUCAUCCCAUUCCCAUCUAAAUGGACUGUAACAAAGCAGAGAAGUUUGAUUUUGUGUUGCAGUAUCUCAACAAAAUGGCUGGGAAUGAAUACAUGGGUUUCAGCAAUGCCACAUUCCAGUCAGAGAAGGAAACAGGGGAUCGGAAUUAUGCCAUCGGCUAUUAUCUCAAGGAAAAGAAGUGCUUUCCUAAGGGGGUGGACAUGAUGGCUGCCCUUGAUCUCUACUUCCAGCUGUGCUCUGUGGAGGUCACUUGUGAAUCAGGCAGUGUCAUGGCAGCCACCCUCGCCAAUGGUGGGAUCUGCCCCAUCACAGGCGAGAGUGUGCUGAGUGCUGAAGCAGUGCGCAACACCCUCAGCCUCAUGCAUUCCUGCGGCAUGUAUGACUUCUCUGGCCAGUUUGCCUUCCACGUGGGCCUGCCAGCCAAGUCAGCUGUAUCA